RNAcentral lists this ribosomal RNA (253 nucleotides) under uncultured bacterium. Its description in RNAcentral is "partial 16S ribosomal RNA". It matches the Rfam family "Bacterial small subunit ribosomal RNA", at positions 524 to 776 of the family's 1533-position model. The record is from RNAcentral.
UACAGGGGAUGCGAGUGUUAUCCAGAAUUAUUGGGCGUAAAGGGCCUGCAGGUGGGUAUUUAAGUCUUUUGUUAAAUCUCUGGGCUUAACCCAGAAUCUGCAAAAGAAACUACUUAUCUAGAGUAUGGUAGAGGUAAAGGGAAUUUCCAGUGGAGCGGUGAAAUGCGUAGAGAUUGGAAAGAACACCAAAGGCGAAGGCACUUUACUAGGCCAGUACUGACACUGAGGGGCGAAAGCUAGGGGAGCAAACGGG